UCCUAAUGGACAGGAUGUUUCAGUUACAUCAUGUCAUGUUCUUUUUUGCAUUUGAAAGAUACGACUAAAUGCAACCUCGAAGGUAGACACUAGAUUUGGAGAUGUCUGUACUGGGUGACAAAACUAGUUACAGUACCAGCUGCUGCUGCUGCUGCUUGUCUUCCAUCACAAAAAACACUUUUUAUUCGAUCAGUAGAUCCAUCCAUCCUCUCCCAUGUGCUCUGUCCAUCAGUCACCAAAUCCACUGAUGAACUUGUGUUGCAACAACAAUGUCUUGUUCACAGAGUUCACUUACCUGCAAAGUCGAUGACUCGGAACUUGAUUUCGGUAAACUUCCUCAUUUCCUUUACCUCAAUUCAACUAGUCUUCUUUAACUCAACUUUUGUAGGAAUUAUGAUUCUUGUUACUAAACUAAACCUUAGUUUCCAGAACAUUACUACGAUUCUUGUCACCAAACCAAACCAAUGUGAAGAGUAGAUCCUAGCUACCUCAUAUAUGCUUGCUUCCAUGCAACAAUAUAAUUUUUCUCUGCAGCCAACAGUAAACAGAUAAAUGAUUGCCUGCAACUGACGACGGCACUGAUCAAAUCACAUGCAGAAAGAAAGAAUCUGUGAGGCCUGUUGUAAUCGUAGUAAAAUUAUGCAUCUCUCUCUUCUUAAAUAGAAAUUUUUUCCUUUUCUAUCUAUACUUACCAUGAGAAGAGAAGAUCAAUAGAAUAUGGAAACAUGAUCAGGAUCAUCAGUUAUAAUUUAUAACCGUGAGAACAGAACAGAGCAGAACCUACAACUGUGCAACUUCAAACACAUAUGGAACAGUUAGAAAAGAACAUAUGAAAAUUAUAUGCUAACUUCAGGACGGAAGAAAAUUAUAACUUGAAAAGAACUAACCUAGUUCAUCUGUGUGAGAAAAUUUCCUGUUUUUCCAGAUAUCUGUUCAUCUCUUCGGGGAUCGUCAGAAACUCUUGGGUUUGUAAAUUCAGCAUACUUUAGGUGGGCGUGUCUUCCGAGAUAGCAAAUAUGAUUUUUAUAUGUAUGUAUCACCAUUAAUUCCCCGAGUUCCUUGAGAGUCGAGAUGGGUAAUCCAGAAACAGCAAGUGUUCUGCUCAGUUAUUUGGAGCUUUCUGCAGAAGAAAAUGCUAACAUCUUCAUGAUGCAUCUCAUUGUACAGAAUCCUUGCACAAGUGGUCCGCUCUGUAUCAGGAACGUGAUGUUACUUUAAUUAGACCCAGCCCAUCUAUAAGGGUUUGGGCCUGUCCCUCUAGUAAUGUAUUGUUUACACUCCGUCUUAAUUGCACCAUAUACAACUCAAGAUUUAAAAAUCUUUUACACUGGCUACUAAAUUUAUUUUAGUACACCCGGUAUUAUUAAAGUUCAGUUUUAAUUUUACCGACUAUCAUUCCGUUAAAAUACUUGACGGAAGUCGGAUAUGGACAGAUCUGCUGUUAUCCAGUCUGACUGUUCUUCCCCAUCUCCUCUUCUUCAAUCCUCUAACGAGCAAAAAAUUGCAUUCAGUUUUAGAGUUUUUUAUAGUGUCGGAGUUUUAGAUUAAUAUACCAGUAGCAACAUCUCCAUUAUUGUAAUCAGAUUGGUGUUUGAUUAAGACCAUCCCGCUCUAGCAGGGGAUUCGACAUGCUGCAACUAAGAAAAUCAAAAUGGGAUUUUUAUUUUUACACAGUAAAUAUAAAAGCUUGGAGUCAAAUUUGAAACUUUUUUGGGGGGCAGAAUCAAUAAUGUCUCAUUCAUUUACUUCUGUUCCAUGACAUUCUAUUUCUUCUUAGCUAAAAUAGACCUAAAAAGUGUUCAUGAAUCGGGCCGAAUCAGCACAAAGAGAAUCUCCCAAAACAAAGAAGAUUAGAGCCCCAAGUCCCCAACGGAAUUCAUAGAUUAUCAGAGCAGAGUUUGCAGUAUCUACCUUAUCCGCUUUCUCAAACCCUUCCAUUCUAUUUCCCAAAAUCACUCCUCGUCUCAAUCGUCACAGUUAGCUAAUCACUCUCCCCCGCCGGUGGAAACCAUCGGCGUUGCCGUACAAUGGCGACCAGCUAAGCCUCUCCGUCCAGUUCACUCGUUUCCUCAUCCCCAAACGAAUCCGUCAAUACCAUACAAUCCGAUUCCCAAUAUAUAGAUCCGAAAAGGAAGAGACCGAUGAUGUCUGCGACGACAGACCACCUGGAUUUCUCUACCUGAUGCGGAAUCCGUUCGUCGAAAUUCAGGAAACCGAUCAGAGGCUCGAUUUAGGGUUCAUGGGUCGUACCCUGUUUCCAGGUUUAAGUUGAGGAAGAAGAGUCGAGGAACAGAGGAAGGAAGAUGGAGAGGAAGAAGAAAGGUGUUGGGAUUUUAAUUAAAAAUAAAUGUGACAUGGAUAAUGGUUGAUCUGUCCACAUCAGAUUUUCGUCAAGGAUUUUAACGAAAUAGUAAUCGGUGAAACUGAAACUAAACUUUAAUGGUACACAGUGUAUUAAAAAAAAUUUAAUGGCAAAUGUAUUUUUUUUUUAAAUGUUGAGUGAUAUAUGGUGUAAUUAAGUCGUUUACACUCCUCUAGGCCUAAUUGGCAGGGCAUGAUCUUCCUCCAGGUCAUUCUGAAAAUGAACCUUGCUGGUCAUCUGUUCGAGGGUCUUGAUUGUUGGGAGGCCUCGGCGUUGAAGAAAUGAUGAAGCACCUCAAGCUUCUUCCUUUUGUCUCCUGUGGCUGGCCUAAUCCCGCUUAUGAAAGCAUGGUCUGGGAUGAUCCUUUAAUCAAUGGUUACCCAUUCCAAUAUUUCUCUUGAAUUGUAUCCAUUAACAUCUUAAAUGCCGAUGAAAUCUCGUCUAGUGUAUAUGAUGGUCUCGCUCUCUCUGUAUUUGUUGAUGAAUGGCUAGC
This 2855-nucleotide long non-coding RNA is filed under the name Linum usitatissimum (flax). RNAcentral describes it as "long non-coding RNA (LUSI_LNC004414)". The record is from RNAcentral. Lineage: Eukaryota; Viridiplantae; Streptophyta; Magnoliopsida; Malpighiales; Linaceae.